CGGAGUCAUUAAAGUGACUUAGUGGCGGACGGGUGAGUAACGCGUGGGUAACCUGCCUCACACAGGGGAUAACAGUUAGAAAUGACUGCUAAUACCGCAUAAGCGCACGGUAUCGCAUGGUACAGUGUGAAAAGAUUUAUCGGUGUGAGAUGGACCCGCGUCUGAUUAGCCAGUUGGCAGGGUAACGGCCUACCAAAGCGACGAUCAGUAGCCGGCCUGAGAGGGUGAACGGCCACAUUGGGACUGAGACACGGCCCAAACUCCUACGGGAGGCAGCAGUGGGGGAUAUUGCACAAUGGGGAAACCCUGAUGCAGCGACGCCGCGUGAGUGAAGAAGUAUUUCGGUAUGUAAAGCUCUAUCAGCAGGGAAGAAAAUGACGGUACCUGACUAAGAAGCCCCGGCUAACUACGUGCCAGCCGCUGC
RNAcentral lists this ribosomal RNA (424 nucleotides) under uncultured bacterium. RNAcentral describes it as "bacterial SSU rRNA". It matches the Rfam family "Bacterial small subunit ribosomal RNA", at positions 67 to 518 of the family's 1533-position model. The record is from RNAcentral.